This 240-nucleotide unclassified non-coding RNA is filed under the name soil metagenome. RNAcentral describes it as "partial contains 5.8S ribosomal RNA, internal transcribed spacer 2, and large subunit ribosomal RNA". The record is from RNAcentral.
AACAAGGCGUACCUGCGGACCUGCGGAAGGAUCAUUACUAAGUCACGUGCUCAAACAACCCUUCUGUGGACCUGAAAUAAAACCGUUGCCUCGGCGGGCGGUCCCCCCCAAACCAACCCCACGUGGUGGGUUAGGGGAGACCAGACAGUCCGGUACGCUUAAGGCGUCCGGCGCCGGCCGCUGGCCCCAAACAAUUAAACUCUAGUAAUCUUUACCUUCUGAGUUUCAAUAUUUAAAAAU